RNAcentral lists this ribosomal RNA (504 nucleotides) under uncultured bacterium. RNAcentral describes it as "partial 16S ribosomal RNA". It matches the Rfam family "Bacterial small subunit ribosomal RNA", at positions 29 to 523 of the family's 1533-position model. The record is from RNAcentral.
AUUGAACGCUGGCGGCAUGCCUUACACAUGCAAGUCGAACGGCAGCAUGGAGAGCUUGCUCUCUGAUGGCGAGUGGCGAACGGGUGAGUAAAGCAUCGGAACGUACCGUGUAGUGGGGGAUAACGUAGCAAAAGUUACGCUAAUACCGCAUACGCACUGAGGUGGAAAGCAGGGGAUCGUAAGACCUUGCGCUAUACGAGCGGCCGAUGUCAGAUUAGCUAGUUGGUAGGGUAAAGGCCUACCAAGGCGACGAUCUGUAGCGGGUCGGAGAGGUUGAUCCGCCACCCUGGGACGGGGAACGGGCCCAGACGCCUACGGGAGGCAGCAGUGGGGAAUUUUGGACAAUGGGGGCAACCCUGAUCCAGCCAUGCCGCGUGAGUGAAGAAGGCCUUCGGGUUGUAAAGCUCUUUCGGCCGGGAAGAAAUCGCACAGGCUAAUACCCUGUGUGGAUGACGGUACCGGCAUAAGAAGCACCGGCUAACUACGUGCCAGCCGCCGCAGUAA